Molecule: ribosomal RNA, 384 nt
Filed under: uncultured bacterium
Lineage: Bacteria
Description: partial 16S ribosomal RNA
Rfam family: Bacterial small subunit ribosomal RNA
Source: RNAcentral
UACGAAGGGGGCUAGCGUUGUUCGGAAUUACUGGGMGUAAAGCGCGCGCAGGCGGUCUAUCCRAGUCAGUGGUGAAAGCCCGGAGCUCAACUCCGGAACUGCCAUUGAAACUGUUUAGACUUGAGKAYGAGAGAGGUGAGUGGAAUUCCCAGUGUAGAGGUGAAAUUCGUAGAUAUUGGGAAGAACACCGGUGGCGAAGGCGGCUCACUGGCUCRUUWCUGACGCUCAGGCGCGACAGCGUGGGGAUCAAACAGGAUUAGAUACCCUGGUAGUCCACGCCGUAAACGAUGAWUGCUAGCCGUUGGGCAGCUUGCUGUUCAGUGGCGCAGCUAACGCAUUAAGCAWUCCGCCUGGGGAGUACGGCCGCAAGGUUGAAACUCAAAG